AACGCGAAGAACCUUACCUGGCCUUGACAUGUCUGGAAUCCUGCAGAGAUGCGGGAGUGCCUUCGGGAAUCAGAACACAGGUGCUGCAUGGCUGUCGUCAGCUCGUGUCGUGAGAUGUUGGGUUAAGUCCCGCAACGAGCGCAACCCUUGUCCUUAGUUGCCAGCGAGUAAUGUCGGGAACUCUAAGGAGACUGCCGGUGACAAACCGGAGGAAGGUGGGGAUGACGUCAAGUCCUCAUGGCCCUUACGGCCAGGGCUACACACGUACUACAAUGGUCGGUACAGAGGGUUGCAAUACCGCGAGGUGGAGCCAAUCCCAGAAAGCCGAUCCCAGUCCGGAUCGAAGUCUGCAACUCGACUUCGUGAAGUCGGAAUCGCUAGUAAUCGCGGAUCAGCUAUGCCGCGGUGAAUACGUUCCCGGGCCUUGUACACACCGUAGUAC
This 442-nucleotide ribosomal RNA is filed under the name uncultured bacterium. RNAcentral's name for it is "bacterial SSU rRNA". It matches the Rfam family "Bacterial small subunit ribosomal RNA", at positions 958 to 1398 of the family's 1533-position model. The record is from RNAcentral.